CUCUUAGAAGUCACUAUGGUGACGGGGAGGUACCAGGUAUUUGAGAGCAAUCGCCACCGCUUUCCUGGAACUUGAGGUAAAUUUCAUCUGAUUUCCAAGUUAGGAAGAGUGGAAAAAAGUGUAGAAGCUCACUGUGGAGCAGUACUUGCAGGAAGAUGGAAUUAUGAAGGAACAGCAUUAGUUACAGUUGGAGAAGAUGGACAAAUAAAAAUUUGGUCAAAGACUGGGAUGCUUAGAUCAACUUUAGCUCAGCAAGUGGAAAGCUCAUGAUGGCAUUAUUUUAAAAGUAGAUUGGAACUCGGUCAAUGAUCUUAUUUUAUCUGCUGGUGAAGACUGUAAAUAUAAGGUAUGGGAUAGUUACGGCCGCCCACUGUACAAUUCACAACCUCAUGAGCAUCCCAUUACUUCAGUUGCCUGGGCUCCAGAUGGAGAAUUAUUUGCUGUUGGAUCGUUUCAUACUUUACGCUUGUGUGAUAAAACUGGGUGGUCAUAUGCAUUAGAAAAACCCAACACUGGCAGCAUAUUUAAUAUUGCAUGGUCUAUCGAUGGCACUCAGAUUGCUGGAGCCUGUGGAAAUGGACAUGUCGUUUU
This 591-nucleotide long non-coding RNA is filed under the name Homo sapiens (human). RNAcentral's name for it is "non-protein coding lnc-IFT80-4:6". Lineage: Eukaryota; Metazoa; Chordata; Mammalia; Primates; Hominidae. The record is from RNAcentral.